This is a long non-coding RNA of Lutra lutra (Eurasian river otter), 5143 nucleotides long. RefSeq lists it as uncharacterized. The transcript has 3 exons. The record is from RefSeq and is a predicted model, not a curated record. NCBI's taxonomy places the organism in Eukaryota, Metazoa, Chordata, Mammalia, Carnivora, Mustelidae.
GACCACAUUCUGGUCAGCGCUUUGUCCCCACGAGUGUUCACUCGUGUCCUUCAACCCCACACUCCCGUGUUACACCUUCAGUCAAUAUUUGAAGGCCUGUUUAGGUAAACAUCAGGAACUCUCAGGACUCUUUGCAGCAGGAAACCUGACCCCCCCAAAUGAGUCACGAUCAACAGGCUCUGGCCAGAAUAACACACCAGCUUCCUGGAACAGGCGUGCUCAGAACCGCCAGGAGAAGCCCAAGAGACGUCAGCCCGACCUCUGCCUCCUUGGACGUACAGCCUGACCUUCGAAGAUCAAACAAACACACCCGCAAGCCUCCGGCUGCUCGGUGCUCCCCGGACAAGCACAGGGGAGACCCCGAUUCCUUUUGCUUGCAGCCUUCACGUAGUUUCAGGGUCACGGGUCUCAGCAGCACCGCCCUGGAUCUGCUCGCAAGGUGCAUGGAGGAGGCUCCAGGAUUCCGCAGUACAAGAAACUCUUUAGUCAAACACGGCCAUUAGGAAAAGAAUCUACUCAAAAUUCCAACAAUGAUGCAAAAGGAAAGAAAAUACUGAGUCCGGACGCUGAGGCAAGCUGAACGUCUGGACAUCACAGGAGCUGUAACAAUGCUCAUUCAUCACCCUGUCCCCUUGCGUCAGGACAAGGACCCCUGUGUCUGUCAAGACAAGCCGUCUGCCCAGCAACCCCACAGCUGCUGUCCCACUGCACCUGCCUGCUCGUGACAGGUGUGCUGUUUUGAGACCCAAACCCCAGAACCUGGAUUUACAGGGGGGCCGGCUGCUCAAUUUGGGGUUGGUCCUUUUUCCUCAGUGGAGCGGUGCCCCUCUGGAGAGAUUGGGGCAUUUGAAACCUUAUCUGCACCCAGAAGAACACGGUGAGCAUUUGCCUUUUGCUGUGGGCCUCAAGUGCCGGACAGAAGGAUAAGCAAAGGAUUUAGGCCACUUGCCUCAGCUUUGGGACCGAAAUGUCAAACCAACCAGGCCCACAUGUGAGCUUCUGGCAUUUCAAGAAUGUGGGAGCUAAGAAUCCAAGCGCCAGGCGUGCUGACCAGUAAGGCGUGUAGAGCCCAGUUGGCAGACUGUGGAGGACAAACACAUAGUAGCAGAUAGAAGUUUUUGCUUUUUCUGCUCAACUUUGCAUAACACGGGGCAUUAGCUUAAAAAUAUCACCCGUGAACAUUGCCAUGCAAAUGUACCUCCCAAGAAAAUUACUGCUGGCAGUUUCUAUUCCGGGAGAAACUUGUGAUAAACAAAAACCUCCCUUGGGUCCUGCUUAUUGUGGUAUUUAAGUCAGGGGGAAUGUUUCCAGGGCAAAAAAGACAGCAUUCUGCUAAUGUUUCUAGCUUCUCAGAGCCCAGACUCUCUCACAAGGUGUUGGGUGUGUAACCCAGGCUCCCCACGUCUGCUUCUUGGCAAAGUGUGAUUCCCGCUGCUUAGAAUACAAUCGGCCCUUGAACAAUGUGGGUUCAAACAGUUUGGACCCAUUUCCACACAAAUUCUCUUUCGAUAAAUACAGGCUAACGCUGUAAAUGUAUUUUCUCUUCCUUGUGAUUUGCUCAACAUUUUCCUUUUACACUUUAUUGCCAGGAUACAGUAUAUAAUACAUAUAGCGUAUAAAUUAUGUGUUAAUUAUUAUUGUGUAAGGCAUUAGGUCGCUGGUAGGCUCUUAGUAGUGAGGUUUGGGCAGAGUCAAAAGUUACAGGCAGGGGCGCCUGGGGGGCUCAGCGGGUUAAAGCCUCUGCCUUCGGCUCAGGUCAUGAUCUCGGGGUCCUGGGAUCGAGCCCCGUGUCGGGCUUCCUGCUCGGCGGGGAGCCUGCUUCCCCUUCUCUCUCUGCCUGCCUCUCUGCCUACUUGAUCAAAUAAAUAAAUAAAAUCUUAAAAAAAAAAAAAAGUCACAUGCAGGCCGAAGCUAUCCUGAGAAGACCAAAGCCCCAAACUUCAAGAAGCAUUACAAAGCUAUUAUCACCUAAACUGUAUGGUAGUGGCACAAAAAUAGUCAUACGGAUCAAAGGAACAGAAUAGAGAGCCCAGAAAUACUCUCUUGCUUAUCCGGUCAGUUAAUCCAUGACAAAGGAGACAAGAAUAUACAACGGGGAAAAGACAGCGUUUUCAAUAAAGGAUGGCGAAAAACUGGGCAGAUCUAUGACAAAGCAUAAAACUAGACUGCCUUCUUACACCACACACAGAAAUGAACUCAAAAUGCUUUCAGGACCUAAAUGUGAGACUGAAACCACAAAAGUCUUCAAAGAAAACACAGUCGGUAAUCUCUCGGACAUGGGUGUCAGCGUCGUAUUUAUGGGUCUGGCUCCUGAGGCCAGGAAAACAAAAGUGGACAUAAACUACCAGGACCAGACAGAAAUAAAAAAAGCUUUCAGGAUAGCCAAGAAAAUUAUCAGCAAGACAAAACAGGAACUUACUGAUCGGAGAAGAUUAUAUAUUCAACGAUGGGUUAGUACCCAAAAUACAUAAAGAACGUAUACCACUUACACAACCUAAAAAACCAAAAAUUUUUAAAAAAUUAAAAAAAAAUAUGCAGAGGAUCCGAACGGACAUUUUUCCAAAGAAGACAUCCGGGUGGACAAGAGAUGCACGAAAAGAUGCGCAACGUCACUCCUCCUUAGGGAAAUGCAAAUCAAAGCCACGGUGAGGUCUCACCUCACACCCAUCAGAACGGCUCGUAUUGAAAACACGAGAAACACGUGCUGGUGAGGACGUGGAGGAAAGGGACCCUCUUGCACUGCUGGUGGGAAUGCAAGCCAGUGCAGCCGCUGGGCAAAGCAGCAGGGAGGUCCCUCAAAACGUUAAAGGUGGAAAUACCUUAUGGGAUCUAACUCAUGCCACUGCUGGGUGUUUGCCCAAAGAAAAUGUAAACUUUAAUUUCUACAGUAGCCGAGAUGCGGAAACACCCCAGUGUCCAUCCGUGUAUACAUAUAGAAAGGGUUUAUGCCAAGUGAGAUAAGUCAGAGAAAGACAAACAACACAGGAUUUCACUCAUAGGCGGCAUCUCACAAACAAACCAGACUCUGAACUCGGGAGAACAAACUGGUGCGCGGGUGGGGGGUGGGGGUGGGCGGGGAACAGGUGGAGGGGAUUAAGAGGUACAAACCCCCAGUUAUAAAAUACAUACGCCACAGAGGUGAGAAGUCAACAAACAAACCAACAAAAAGUCAUUUGUGGGUUUUUGACUGUGGGGGAGGCCAGCGUCCUACCCCCCGAGUUGGUCAGGGGUUGGCAGUGUGUGGUUUCCUUUUUGGAAAAUGUAAAGAAAUGCCACAAACCCACACAAAACGAGGACAGCGUUGGAAAGGGAGUAGGUAAAGAAGAUGCCUGAGUGAGACUAAAGCUCCCAACCUGAAAAUCCUGGCGGGACCAGUCCUGGAGAGCCAGCUCCUCUCUGGGCAGGCAGCAGGGGUCGGGGGCCAGGAGAGGGGAGGUCUGCUCCGCUGGGGGCCUCGCGGGCACACAGGGAGGCCACGGGCUGCCAGAGGAGCCCGCUUCUAUCCUCCAGACUCCAAAAUGUCAGACCUUGCCUCUUGCCUCAGUAAAGGUGCCUGAUUUCCAGGGAACCAAGGAGAAACCUGCAGGGAACUUGAACCAGGUGACAGGGACCCCUCCGUGCCCCUCUAAGUUUCAGAGUUGUGCAGGAACGUGGGGUCGCCUCAGCAUCCUUGUAUACUCUGUGGGGACGGCAGGAGGGGGCCUGUGAGAUGGGAGGGGACAGGGGUGACUGCACCUGCCCCCCCCAUGCAGUGGGGGGCAUGCCUGGUGGGGCCAGGCCUGGUCACCAGCAGCCUGGUGGGGAGCCGGAGGGAUCUGGGGGCCCAGCCACCAGACAGAAAGCUCCCUGAAGGCCCAGUCUGCCCUCCCUGCAGGGCUCCCCCACACAGAGGGGUGUGAUCAUGGGGAUAAAAGCCUACAGCCCCAGCCCAGGUGGAGGCCCACAGAGCAGGUGACCAGCUUCCCUGUGGCCAUCUCCGUGUGUCUAUCCACGUGGCCAGGGCUCAAUGCUGGGGCUCCUGCCCUACACUCCCCCCCACCCCUCGCCUGUGCUCCAUCUGGAGUCCCCUUCCCGUUGAUAGGGCUGCGUCUUUCCCCCGGCUUCUGUUCUCACCGCGCCCAACUCAAACCCCCGAGCCUUUCAGCUCACCCGCAGAACCUGCCAGAACACCGCUGUACUUCACUCCUGUGCUCAAAACCCCGAGCUGCUUCCCCUCCACAAGCCUGCAACGCUGGCUCCCCGCUCCUGGACCUCAGAACUGGCUCCGCCUGCUCCCCCCACCCCCCAGAAGCAGCUUACCUGGAGACAGCAAGUAGCCGAGCCGAACUUGACUCUUUCCUUGAAUGACCUCUUCUGGGAACGAGCCCUUCGUUGAAGAUGAUUUUUGAGAAAUGUCAAAGAUGCGCCAGCUGCCUGAAGAAUAAAGCCCGUUUUGUUCAAAGACCCGUGCAGAUGCUCACAAACCAGGAUGUGGGGCAGAGGUUUUCCUCCACGGUGGCCCAUCUUGCCCCUUUGGGGUCGGCAUCUGGACCUGCAGGACAGCCCCUGAGGCCCAGGUGCGUUUCGCUUCUGGAACCCUCUCUCCUUCAACAUGGCUGAGCUGGAUGUUUGGAGCUACACCUCCUGCUUACAGUCAGACCUGGGAAUUAAUAUUGCAAUUGACUGAUUCUCUGCCUUUGAGGGUGCUCACGUCCAUGGCUUGGCUCCCACCCCCAGCGACAGUGGUUCUAGUACCUUCCGCCAGGACUGAAAUGAGAUUGUGCCCAGGGUGUGCUCAGCCUGGACCCCGGCCCUUCAUAAGUACUCAGUACCUCUUAAUAAUAUCAAAUCUGAUCGUGCUCUCACUUUGCCCCGCGUUCCGGAAAGGUGAGUAACAGUACUGACGGUUAGCAGGUUUUGAUGAUCUCUCUGACUAACACUGAAAUUCCCAAACUAGGGGGUGCCCGGGGGGCUCAGUUGGUGAAGUGUCUUCCCGUCGAUGGCGGCUGCGUCCUUCCCCCGGCUUCUGUUCUAACUGCACGCAACUCAAAAUCCCCCAGCCUUUCAGCUCACCCGUGGAACACACCAGAACUCCCCCUACUUCAGUUCAGGUCAUGGUCUCAGGGUUCUGGGAUCGAAUUCCAAGUCAGACUCCCAGCUCCGU